Molecule: ribosomal RNA, 480 nt
Filed under: uncultured bacterium
Lineage: Bacteria
Description: bacterial SSU rRNA
Rfam family: Bacterial small subunit ribosomal RNA
Source: RNAcentral
AUUGAACGCUGGCGGAAUGCUUUACACAUGCAAGUCGAACGGUAGAGGGGGCAACCCCUCGAGAGUGGCGAACGGGUGAGUAAUAUAUCGGAACGUGCCCAGUCGGUGGGGAUAACGUAGCGAAAGUUACGCUAAUACCGCAUACGAUCUAAGGAUGAAAGCGGGGGACCGUAAGGCCUCGCGCGAUUGGAGCGGCCGAUAUCUGAUUAGCUUGUUGGUGGGGUAAAAGCCCACCAAGGCGACGAUCAGUAGCUGGUCUGAGAGGACGAUCAGCCACACUGGGACUGAGACACGGCCCAGACUCCUACGGGAGGCAGCAGGUGGGGAAUUUUGGACAAUGGGGGCAACCCUGAUCCAGCAAUGCCGCGUGAGUGAAGAAGGCCUUCGGGUUGUAAAGCUCUUUUGUCAGGGAAGAAACAGCAGCUCUAACACAGUCUGCGAAUGACGGUACCUGAAGAAUAAGCACCGGCUAACUACGUG